This 20-nucleotide microRNA is filed under the name Arabidopsis lyrata. RNAcentral's name for it is "aly-miR771-3p". Its record names the gene aly-miR771-3p. The record is from miRBase by way of RNAcentral. Lineage: Eukaryota; Viridiplantae; Streptophyta; Magnoliopsida; Brassicales; Brassicaceae.
GGGCUCCUCAGAUGUUCAUG